Molecule: transfer RNA, 76 nt
Filed under: Pseudomonas putida
Lineage: Bacteria; Pseudomonadati; Pseudomonadota; Gammaproteobacteria; Pseudomonadales; Pseudomonadaceae
Description: tRNA-Thr
Rfam family: tRNA
About the family: Transfer RNA (tRNA) molecules are approximately 80 nucleotides in length.
Source: RNAcentral
GCCGUCAUAGCUCAGUUGGUAGAGCAGCUGACUUGUAAUCAGCGGGUCGUGGGUUCGAAGCCUGCUGGCGGCACCA